UUCCUUCCUUCCUUCCUUCCUUCCUUUCUUUUUUUCUUUCUUUUUUCUCCUUUUGAGACAGAGUUUCACUCUUGUUGCCCAAGUUGGAGUACAGUGGCACAAUCUCGGGUCACUGCAACCUCUACCUCCGAGGUUCAAGCUAUUCCUCCACCUCAGCCUCCCGAGUAGCUGGGAUUACAGGCACCCACCACCACACCCAGCUAAUUUUUUGUAUUUUUA
RNAcentral lists this long non-coding RNA (219 nucleotides) under Homo sapiens (human). RNAcentral describes it as "HSALNT0330439". Lineage: Eukaryota; Metazoa; Chordata; Mammalia; Primates; Hominidae. The record is from RNAcentral.